Molecule: long non-coding RNA, 574 nt
Organism: Cynocephalus volans (Philippine flying lemur)
Lineage: Eukaryota; Metazoa; Chordata; Mammalia; Dermoptera; Cynocephalidae
Exons: 4
Source: RefSeq, a predicted model, not a curated record
GGAGGGGCCGCGGAGCCCAGCGUCGCUGUCUCUACCGCCCGGGAUCCGAGCGCAAAGAGACCGAUCCCGCCUACCCGGAUCCCACCUACCUGUAGGGCUCCCCCCUUUCUGUGCUGAGCAAAUAGGAGGCCCCAAAGUUAACUGGCAUUGCACACAACAACCUCCUGCACAGACAUUACACUUGUGCAGCUAGGAGGACCCAGAUACCCACCCCCCAUGCCUAAAACAGACCUUAGAGAUUCAAGACUAGCCCUGCUGUCGAGGGCAGAGUGACCCUAUUGAUAACCUACAACCCCUCUAUGUCUCCACAACUCCCUCUCACCAUGGAGUUUGCAUUUAAUGUAGAAAAGCAUGUGAACCAUCCCUCCCUCUGACUUCUUAGGUGGGAUUCCAUGGCCACACAACCCUGUGACUCCAUGCCCCCCCAAUUCCAGGACCCCCCCUGGCCCCAUGACUCCUUGGCCCCCAUGGCCUUAUGACCCCUGACCUUCCAAGUGACCUCCCUGGACUUUGACCCCUGUGACUGUUCUUCCCAUCUCCCCCCCAAACCCUGUGAUUCUGGCCCUGGCUCCCA